CAGACUCAUUUAUAAUCUGUUGCAAGAAGAGUUGCAGAGUGGACUGCACGCCUUAUCCAUCUCAGCAAAGACGCCUGAUGAACUCUGAAGCCAAUCAUCCUAACUCACUUGAAAGAGGUUUUCCUUCAAUUUUAUCUGUUUUCAAGUUCUAUUUUCUGGCUGAGGAACUUCUAUGAUUUCUGAGGAGUAUUUAUGUUGCAAUUAUCAUAAUGUUAGGCUUAGAUGUUGAAGUUUUGGUGUUG
This 242-nucleotide unclassified non-coding RNA is filed under the name Hevea brasiliensis (rubber tree). The record is from RNAcentral. Lineage: Eukaryota; Viridiplantae; Streptophyta; Magnoliopsida; Malpighiales; Euphorbiaceae.